CUGUUUGUCCAAAUGAAACCUACCCAACUGCUAGUUAAUUCAAAGAAAAGCAAGGGGGAAAAGGGCAGGGGGGAAAAUUCCUUUCUGAAACCAAGAUGGCGAUUAGACGAGCCCUACCUCUAUGCCUGAGGAACAGCAAUCACUUCUUCCCAGCCUCAUGUGUCUGAAACCUGGACAGCCUUCACACCUUUUGAAAGUGCAUCCUCUAAGAACAGUUGAUGAUUUUAAAGAAUACGGAACAAAUAUACACAGCAUUGGCUUGAUGUAGCAGACAGGCAGUCAUAAAAAUGUAUUGCUGAACUAUAUGGAACACAACACUACUGCCUCAAAGCACUGAUUGUCUUUACUGUGACAGUCAGAGGGACUGCUGAUGUAACUGUAGAAUUGUGCUUACAAGAAGCCUGUGAUUGUUCCUUCAUAAGCAGAGAAGAAAGCACCAUAUUGUAUUAUUACAGUAUUUUCUAUAUCUAACACUGUGAGAAAUUGUUCAUUACAUGUGCUUGCUGUAUUCAGUAAUAUAUCAUAUUCUCUAAAGGGGAUGACAAACCAAAAGUAAAACUUUCUCAUUUCUCGACAGCCACCCUCCACACACAAACGGGGAUGGAAAGAACGAGGGUAUGAUGUCUAGAAACACUAACUGUUAUAUGAGGCUUUUGUUCUCUAGUUCAAUUAUAUGUUAUGAUCUUUACUUGGAUCGACAGAAAGGUGGAAAGAAGAUAUCGCGGACCUUUAAUUCCAAGUCCAGGU
Molecule: long non-coding RNA, 747 nt
Organism: Xenopus tropicalis (tropical clawed frog)
Lineage: Eukaryota; Metazoa; Chordata; Amphibia; Anura; Pipidae
Exons: 3
Source: RefSeq, a predicted model, not a curated record